RNAcentral lists this ribosomal RNA (460 nucleotides) under uncultured bacterium. RNAcentral describes it as "partial 16S ribosomal RNA". It matches the Rfam family "Bacterial small subunit ribosomal RNA", at positions 338 to 795 of the family's 1533-position model. The record is from RNAcentral.
CCUACGGGAGGCAGCAGUGAGGAAUAUUGGUCAAUGGCCGAGAGGCUGAACCAGCCAAGUCGCGUGAGGGAUGACGGCCCUACGGGUUGUAAACCUCUUUUGUCGGGGAGCAAAGAGAGUCACGUGUGGCUCAUUGAGAGUACCCGAAGAAAAAGCAUCGGCUAACUCCGUGCCAGCAGCCGCGGUAAUACGGAGGAUGCGAGCGUUAUCCGGAUUUACUGGGUGUAAAGGGCGUGCAGCCGGGAAGACAAGUCAGAUGUGAAAUCCAGCGGCUCAACCGCGGAACUGCAAUUGAAACUGUUUUUCUUGAGUACCGGAGAGGUCAUCGGAAUUCCUUGUGUAGCGGUGAAAUGCGUAGAUAUAAGGAAGAACACCAGUGGCGAAGGCAGAUGACUGGACGGCAACUGACGGUGAGGCGCGAAAGCGUGGGGAGCAAACAGGAUUAGAUACCCGAGUAGUC